This 1295-nucleotide ribosomal RNA is filed under the name Escherichia fergusonii. Its description in RNAcentral is "bacterial SSU rRNA". It matches the Rfam family "Bacterial small subunit ribosomal RNA", at positions 172 to 1464 of the family's 1533-position model. Lineage: Bacteria; Pseudomonadati; Pseudomonadota; Gammaproteobacteria; Enterobacterales; Enterobacteriaceae. The record is from RNAcentral.
CAUAACGUCGCAAGACCAAAGGAGGGGGACCUUCGGGCCUCUUGCCAUCGGAUGUGCCCAGAUGGGAUUAGCUAGUAGGUGGGGUAACGGCUCACCUAGGCGACGAUCCCUAGCUGGUCUGAGAGGAUGACCAGCCACACUGGAACUGAGACACGGUCCAGACUCCUACGGGAGGCAGCAGUGGGGAAUAUUGCACAAUGGGCGCAAGCCUGAUGCAGCCAUGCCGCGUGUAUGAAGAAGGCCUUCGGGUUGUAAAGUACUUUCAGCGGGGAGGAAGGGAGUAAAGUUAAUACCUUUGCUCAUUGACGUUACCCGCAGAAGAAGCACCGGCUAACUCCGUGCCAGCAGCCGCGGUAGUACGGAGGGUGCAAGCGUUAAUCGGAAUUACUGGGCGUAAAGCGCACGCAGGCGGUUUGUUAAGUCAGAUGUGAAAUCCCCGGGCUCAACCUGGGAACUGCAUCUGAUACUGGCAAGCUUGAGUCUCGUAGAGGGGGGUAGAAUUCCAGGUGUAGCGGUGAAAUGCGUAGAGAUCUGGAGGAAUACCGGUGGCGAAGGCGGCCCCCUGGACGAAGACUGACGCUCAGGUGCGAAAGCGUGGGGAGCAAACAGGAUUAGAUACCCUGGUAGUCCACGCCGUAAACGAUGUCGACUUGGAGGUUGUGCCCUUGAGGCGUGGCUUCCGGAGCUAACGCGUUAAGUCGACCGCCUGGGGAGUACGGCCGCAAGGUUAAAACUCAAAUGAAUUGACGGGGGCCCGCACAAGCGGUGGAGCAUGUGGUUUAAUUCGAUGCAACGCGAAGAACCUUACCUGGUCUUGACAUCCACGGAAGUUUUCAGAGAUGAGAAUGUGCCUUCGGGAACCGUGAGACACGUGCUGCAUGGCUGUCGUCAGCUCGUGUUGUGAAAUGUUGGGUUAAGUCCCGCAACGAGCGCAACCCUUAUCCUUUGUUGCCAGCGGUCCGGCCGGGAACUCAAAGGAGACUGCCAGUGAUAAACUGGAGGAAGGUGGGGAUGACGUCAAGUCAUCAUGGCCCUUACGACCAGGGCUACACACGUGCUACAAUGGCGCAUACAAAGAGAAGCGACCUCGCGAGAGCAAGCGGACCUCAUAAAGUGCGUCGUAGUCCGGAUUGGAGUCUGCAACUCGACUCCAUGAAGUCGGAAUAGAUAGUAAUCGUGGAUCAGAAUGCCACGGUGAAUACGUUCCCGGGCCUCGUACACAGCGUCCGUCCCUCCAAAGAAAGUGGUACAGGGGACCCCCUAGAGUUUGGAUCCUGGCUCAGAUGCACACCCCU